Molecule: non-coding RNA, 799 nt
Organism: Poecilia reticulata (guppy)
Lineage: Eukaryota; Metazoa; Chordata; Actinopteri; Cyprinodontiformes; Poeciliidae
Source: RefSeq, a predicted model, not a curated record
UACAACUUAUAAAAGUUGUGUUGAACUCAACAGGUUAAGUAACACACACGGUCAUAUUGAAUGGCACUCGGAACACAUUUUAUCACCAAUAAUUUUUUAGAGUAAAAGAAGAAUAAAUUAACUCGCACACAGCUUAUAAGAACAGAAGCCCAAUAAGAACUGUGAUUGACUUACCUGCUUCAGUUUGUGUGAAGACAAAAACAGUAAUCUGGCAUUCAGAUGGAUGACCUAUAAAGCAGCACUGGAGGAUUAGCUCAGCCUGGCAGACAUCCUGUUCUGCUGAGUGACAUUUUCUACUGCAGGGAAGCUGAACAGGGUUCAAAUUUGGAGCCACUUCCAGGGACACAAAUGCUUUUAAGCUUUUUCAAGGACAGCUUUUCAAAUGUCGUCAGGUGAUUUGUCAUUCACGUUAUGAACAAUGUUUUCCCCAAUUAUUCUGAAGGGACAGGAAAACUGCAGAGGUGUGGAGACUGAUGAAGACAAUACGGUCAAUCCUGGAAAUAAACCUGAUGGAGGCUGGAGAAGAAUUGAAACUGGGCUGGAGGUUCACCGUCCAGCAUGAGGACAACCUAAACAUACGAGUCAAAAACAAGACCUAAAUUCAACUGAGAAUUUUCUGGCAGAACUUGAAAAUCACUAUUCAAAGACACACUCCACUCAUUCCAAGAAUUUGUAACUUUUUCUGAUUUAUAAUUAACAAACAAACAAAAAAAAAACAUUUACAAAAAGUGUAGUUUUGCGUCAAAGCUAUGUACUACUUUGUGUCAGUCUAUCACAUAAAAUUUUGCUAAAGUACCAA